GUGCCAGCCGCCGCGGUAAUACCGGCAGCCCGAGUGAUGGCCGAUCUUAUUGGGCCUAAAGCGUCCGUAGCUGGGUGCGCAAGUCCAUCGGGAAAUCCACUCGCUCAACGAGUGGGCGUCCGGUGGAAACUCCACACCUUGGGACCGGAAGGCUCGAAGGGUACGUCCGGGGUAGGAGUGAAAUCCUGUAAUCCCGCACGGACCACCGAUGGCGAAAGCACUUCGAGAAAACGGAUCCGACAGUGAGGGACGAAAGCUAAGAUCGCGAACCGGAUUAGAUACCCGGGUAGUCC
RNAcentral lists this ribosomal RNA (293 nucleotides) under uncultured bacterium. Its description in RNAcentral is "partial 16S ribosomal RNA". It matches the Rfam family "Archaeal small subunit ribosomal RNA", at positions 455 to 747 of the family's 1478-position model. The record is from RNAcentral.